Non-coding RNA from Tupaia belangeri (northern tree shrew), 190 nucleotides. The record is from Rfam. NCBI's taxonomy places the organism in Eukaryota, Metazoa, Chordata, Mammalia, Scandentia, Tupaiidae.
UCUGAGCCCGAAGGUCCGGAGAUAUGUGUCAGUUGACAGGCAUUUAGCCUGUUAUUUGAAGUAGACAAGUAACGGUCCAGCUUAGGCUAAAAGAAGAACGUGUUACAUCUAGUGUCUAAACUUCAAACAACGAAAUAUAUUUCUGAGACCUUGUGUAGAGACACACAUGUCCUUCAAACAGCCCCACCAG